RNAcentral lists this ribosomal RNA (600 nucleotides) under Enterobacter ludwigii. RNAcentral describes it as "bacterial SSU rRNA". It matches the Rfam family "Bacterial small subunit ribosomal RNA", at positions 46 to 638 of the family's 1533-position model. The record is from RNAcentral. Lineage: Bacteria; Pseudomonadati; Pseudomonadota; Gammaproteobacteria; Enterobacterales; Enterobacteriaceae.
GCCAACACUGCAAGUUCGAGCGGUAGCACAGAGAGCUUGCUCUCGGGUGACGAGCGGCGGACGGGUGAGUAAUGUCUGGGAAACUGCCUGAUGGAGGGGGAUAACUACUGGAAACGGUAGCUAAUACCGCAUAACGUCGCAAGACCAAAGAGGGGGACCUUCGGGCCUCUUGCCAUCAGAUGUGCCCAGAUGGGAUUAGCUAGUAGGUGGGGUAACGGCUCACCUAGGCGACGAUCCCUAGCUGGUCUGAGAGGAUGACCAGCCACACUGGAACUGAGACACGGUCCAGACUCCUACGGGAGGCAGCAGUGGGGAAUAUUGCACAAUGGGCGCAAGCCUGAUGCAGCCAUGCCGCGUGUAUGAAGAAGGCCUUCGGGUUGUAAAGUACUUUCAGCGGGGAGGAAGGUGUUGUGGUUAAUAACCACAGCAAUUGACGUUACCCGCAGAAGAAGCACCGGCUAACUCCGUGCCAGCAGCCGCGGUAAUACGGAGGGUGCAAGCGUUAAUCGGAAUUACUGGGCGUAAAGCGCACGCAGGCGGUCUGUCAAGUCGGAUGUGAAAUCCCCGGGCUCAACCUGGGAACUGCAUUCGAAACUGGCA